Molecule: small nucleolar RNA, 100 nt
Organism: Erigeron canadensis
Lineage: Eukaryota; Viridiplantae; Streptophyta; Magnoliopsida; Asterales; Asteraceae
Product: small nucleolar RNA snoR128
Exons: 1
Source: RefSeq, a predicted model, not a curated record
UUGCAAUGAUGAAAACUCCAAAAUGAGUAUUAUUUUGAGAGUUUUAAAAAGCUCUGUGAAACGUCGGCUUUUAUGUCGAUCUGAGCGGUUACCUGAGCAA